AGUGAAGCGGCAACAGCUCAAAUUUGAAAUCUGGCCCCAGGCCCGAGUUGUAAUUUGCAGAGGAUGCUUUUGGUGCGGUGCCUUCCAAGUUCCCUAGAACGGGACGCCAGAGAGGGUGAGAGCCCCGUACAGUUGGACACCAAGCCUUUGUAAAGCUCCUUCGACGAGUCGAGUAGUUUGGGAAUGCUGCUCAAAAUGGGAGGUAUAUUUCUUCUAAAGCUAAAUACCGGCCAGAGACCGAUAGCGCACAAGUAGAGUGAUCGAAAGAUGAAAAGCACUUUGAAAAGAGGGUUAAACAGCACGUGAAAUUGUUAAAAGGGAAGCGCUUGUGACCAGACUUGCGUCCGGUGAAUCACCCAGCUCUCGCGGCUGGGGCACUUCGCCGGCUCAGGCCAGCAUCAGCUCGCUGUCGGGGACAAAAGCUUCGGGAACGUAGCUCUCUUCGGGGAGUGUUAUAGCCUGUUGCAUAAUACCCUUCGGCGGGCUGAGGUACGCGCUCCGCAAGGAUGCUGGCAUAAUGGUCAUCAGCGAC
Molecule: ribosomal RNA, 532 nt
Filed under: Colletotrichum kahawae
Lineage: Eukaryota; Fungi; Ascomycota; Sordariomycetes; Glomerellales; Glomerellaceae
Also listed under: 1 other name
Description: partial large subunit ribosomal RNA
Rfam family: Eukaryotic large subunit ribosomal RNA
Source: RNAcentral